GGAAGGGUGGCAGAGUGGUCGAUUGCACCGGUCUUGAAAACCGGCAACGGGCAACCGUUCGUGGGUUCGAAUCCCACCCCUUCCGCCA
This 88-nucleotide transfer RNA is filed under the name Bordetella sp. SCN 67-23. RNAcentral's name for it is "tRNA-Ser". It matches the Rfam family "tRNA". Rfam says of the family: Transfer RNA (tRNA) molecules are approximately 80 nucleotides in length. Their secondary structure includes four short double-helical elements and three loops (D, anti-codon, and T loops). The record is from RNAcentral. RNAcentral also lists the same sequence under 6 other names. Lineage: Bacteria; Pseudomonadati; Pseudomonadota; Betaproteobacteria; Burkholderiales; Alcaligenaceae.